RNAcentral lists this unclassified non-coding RNA (1989 nucleotides) under Hevea brasiliensis (rubber tree). Lineage: Eukaryota; Viridiplantae; Streptophyta; Magnoliopsida; Malpighiales; Euphorbiaceae. The record is from RNAcentral.
CUCUGAUCGGAAAUUUUCUCAUUUUCUCCUACUUUCCCAUUUGCCAAACAAAUUCAAUCAAACUCCCUACAAACACUCCCCACACAGGCCAGAUUAAAAUUAUUAUGCAUUCCCAAGAGAUCAGUAACGCUGACAAUAACAGCGAAAUCGCUUCUCAUUCUUCUCCAUCUGUUUCAGUUCCAGACUGGGAUCAACCCCUCACAGAGGAAGAGCUCCAAGCCAUUGAUGCUAUUGAAGCCGCAUUUCAACGGUCCACAUCUGCGAAUGGUACUCCUUCAUCAUCCGUUAUCAGGAAACGACGUUCACAUCCCCAAAAUGACCUAGAUAUGAAGAAAACUUGCCGCCAGUUGCCCAAUUCCGUUCUGGGUCUCUGUAGACCCUUUUCACUAUCUCCUUGUCAAGCUAACAUAAAGACGAGAUAUCCUACACUAAAGUUUGGUGGUCACAUCUUGUAUAGUAGAACUCCAGUGGAAGUAGAAAAGGCUGCAAGGGAGCUUUUACAGAGUCUUGAAGCUAAACAAGGAGAAAUGGGUCAAGUUAUUGUGGGAUUUGAUAUUGAAUGGAGACCAUCAUUUAGAAGAGGUGUUUUGCCUGGAAAAGUUGCAGUUAUGCAGUUAUGCUGCGGCACUGAUUAUUGUCAUGUGAUGCAUAUUUUUCAUUCUGGAAUCACAGAGACACUGCAGUUUCUUCUUGAGAAUUCUACACUGCUAAAAGUUGGAGUUGGCAUUCACAAUGAUUCUGUGAAGUUUUUUAAAGACUAUAAAAUAUCUGUUAAAGCAGUGGAGGACCUUUCUUAUCUGGCAAAUAAAAAACUUGGCGGGGAACCUAAAAGUUGGGGUCUUCAAUCUCUAACUGAAAAGCUCAUUUCUAAAGAGCUUCAAAAGUCGAACAAAAUUAGACUGGGAAACUGGGAAGUAGAUGUUUUAUCAAAGAAUCAACUAGAGUAUGCUGCCACAGAUGCUUUUGCUUCUUGGCAGCUUUACCAGGUGUUAAAAAGUCUCCCAGAUGCAAAGGAUGCAACUGCUGAAAGAAGUGAGGAAGUGAGAGUUGUCACACAACAAUGAGGUCUGCUGUUAUGAUCACCUAAUCAUGCAUAUCUAUCUGUUGCAAAAUGAAUUAAAUUUUUAGAUUUUGCCACCAUUAUUCGUUGUAGAAGGUCUAUUCAGAAUAAUUAUUGCUUCAUAUGAAAAUUGAUCUUACAUUUGUAUCAUUGGCACAUAGGGGGGUUUAAACUUCGACUUCACUAGUCUUAUGAGGAGAUAAUAACAUAUUUAUAUAUAUUGUAGGUUAAUAAUACAUGAGCUAAACUAAAAAAGUACUCCAGUUCAAUGGGAUUUGAGCUUGAUAUUUAUCAAUUAAAGUAUCAAACCUUUAACAGUUUAGCAUAUAAAGCAAGGGUUAGUACUAUGAGGAUGGUCAUGGUCAUUGUCUUGACUUUUCAGCAUAAUUUAUAGCAUGUCUUGACAUGAGAAGUUCGUUUGAUUAACCCUGAAUAACAUUUGUUUUUCAUGAACAUUUUCUUUGGAAUUGGAUUGGACCACCAUCCGUACCAAGCUGGGCAUAGGAGGAGGGAAGAAAUUGGCUAGAAUUUAGAAAGGCAGAAUAACGUAGUGAGAUACAAAAGGGACAUGUUCACUUUCCUGAAAUGUGCCAACUUAUUAUUUUGCAAGGGCAAAAUCUUUGGAAUAGUGAUGGGUGUUAAUCAAGAUCCAAAAUGAACAUCCGAAUUUCUCGGUAGUUAUCAAGAGAAAAUCCAACAUCCCACAUGCCCAGCACAUGGUUAAAGAGACAAAAGGUUAUGUCCAAUCUCUUGUUGGCUUUUGCCAUGCCAAAAAGCUGAUUAAAUUCCAACAUAUUUAGUUCUUGUGUAUACAGUUUAGCUGUAAAAUGGAUUUCAUUCUUUUUCUUUUCCUUGUUUUCGUACUUUAUUCUGGUGUCCAAGGGCUUCAAAUCCAAUAUGGUGCCAAAAAAAUUAAAAAAAAAAUGAAG